GUGCACGAGUAAGAACAACAUAUAUAUCUCAGCUUUGAGCCGCUUUCACAGUCAUUCUAUUUGCCUUUAAGACAUUCUGUUUACGUCGGACACAAAGAGAUAAAGAACUACCUUUGAACUCUCUUGCAAAACUAGAACAUAAAUUGCCUGACAAACUUCAAAGUUUAAGAUCUGCCAUUUGUUUUCCUCUCAGGUGUGAAACCUGAUUUAGAAAAUAAAACUGCCAUGGUCAUUUAUUACGCUACGAUUGAGCUUCCCUUGAUGUGCGCUGGUAUCAUUCUGUGGGUUUUUUGUUGCCAUUUCGCAAAGAAGCGCAGAGAGGCAGCAGGCCGGCCCCCGAGGCCCUCUAACUCUCCAUCCGUGUACGUCAUCCCCAUAUAUGAUGAGGAGCGGGAGGAAAACGAGGAAGUAAUGGACGAAUAUGAAGCAUAUUUUCAACCUCCCUACAGAGAACCUCCCAUGUACUGCUCAGGAAAUGUCCCUCCUCCCCCUCCAUACAGGCUUGAACCACCAUCAUACACGGACCCCCCACCAUCAUACACGGACCCUCCACCUUACUCAGACCAGCCCUGAUCCUCCUCGUCUUCCUCGUCCCACACUUCAAACACACAAUAAGAGUUUGUGAAAUGAUUUCAAAGCAUCUGGUUUGUCACAUGGGGACAUUUAUAAACGUGAAUGACAUGAAAGUAUGAAUUCCAGCCCGGCUUUUUAUAGCUGGACUAACAUUUGCAAUUUAAAUGUUUCUUCUUGAGUUUAUUAUGAAGUUUCUGAAACAAGCUUUAAAUCUUUUUGACCC
RNAcentral lists this long non-coding RNA (796 nucleotides) under Cottoperca gobio. RNAcentral's name for it is "lncRNA (ENSCGOG00000011829.1)". Lineage: Eukaryota; Metazoa; Chordata; Actinopteri; Perciformes; Bovichtidae. The record is from RNAcentral.